UCAGACGAUGCGUCAUGCAUAUCAAUAAGCGGAGGAAAAGAAACUAACAAGGAUUCCCCUAGUAACGGCGAGUGAAGCGGGAAGAGCUCAAAUUUGAAAUCUUAAAGGGUUUCCCUUUACGAAUUGUAGUUUAAAGAAGUGUUUUCUGUUGAGGUUUUGGUAAAAGUUCUUUGGAAUAGGACAUCAUAGAGGGUGAGAAUCCCGUAUUUGACCUUUACUUUCAACUUUGUGAUACACUUUCAAAGAGUCGGAUUGUUUGGGAAUGCAGUCCAAAAUGGGUGGUAAAUUUCAUCUAAAGCUAAAUAUUGGCGAGAGACCGAUAGCGAACAAGUACCGUGAGGGAAAGAUGAAAAGAACUUUGAAAGGAGAGUUAAACAGUACGUGAAAUUGUCAAAAGGGAAGCGUUUGACACCAGUGUUGUUUUUCUGAAAAUCAAUUAAAGAACUGUUUAUGCUAAGCUGUUUAGACUUUAUCAGCUAUCUGUUUAGUUUUGAGCUUUUCUUUAAUGCACUUUUCAGUUAACAAGUCAACAUCAAUUUCUUUUGCUGUAAAAAAGCUUGAGGAAGGUGGCUUGAGAUUCGUCUUAAGUGUUUAUAGCCUCUUGCCUAUGCAGUCGGAGAGAUUGAGGUCUGCAGCGUAGAUCCUUCGGGGCUAAAUGCAUUUGUGCUAAGUUAUAGCAUUUUAUAGACAACUUGUUGACUAUGAUUUGUCUCGUAGCUUACUCGCUUAUGUUAUUUUACCUACGCUUAGGAUGUUGACACACGCGCGUGCUCG
Molecule: ribosomal RNA, 774 nt
Filed under: uncultured Neocallimastigales
Lineage: Eukaryota; Fungi; Neocallimastigomycota; Neocallimastigomycetes; Neocallimastigales
Description: partial large subunit ribosomal RNA
Rfam family: Eukaryotic large subunit ribosomal RNA
Source: RNAcentral